This 418-nucleotide ribosomal RNA is filed under the name uncultured bacterium. Its description in RNAcentral is "bacterial SSU rRNA". It matches the Rfam family "Bacterial small subunit ribosomal RNA", at positions 355 to 766 of the family's 1533-position model. The record is from RNAcentral.
UGGGGAAUUUUGGACAAUGGGGGCAACCCUGAUCCAGCAAUGCCGCGUGAGUGAAGAAGGCCUUCGGGUUGUAAAGCUCUUUUGUCAGGGAAGAAACGGUAGUAGCGAAUAACUAUUACUAAUGACGGUACCUGAAGAAUAAGCACCGGCUAACUACGUGCCAGCAGCCGCGGUAAUACGUAGGGUGCAAGCGUUAAUCGGAAUUACUGGGCGUAAAGCGUGCGCAGGCGGUUGUGUAAGUCAGAUGUGAAAUCCCCGGGCUCAACCUGGGAAUUGCAUUUGAGACUGCACGGCUAGAGUGUGUCAGAGGGGGGUAGAAUUCACGUGUAGCAGUGAAAUGCGUAGAUAUGUGGAGGAAUACCGGUGGCGAAGGCGGCCUUCUGGACGGUGACUGACACUCAGACGCGAAAGCGUGGGG